GGAUGGGUGGCAGAGCGGUUGAAUGCAUCGGUCUUGAAAACCGACGACUCUUUACGGAGUCCGUGAGUUCGAAUCUCACCCCAUCCG
RNAcentral lists this transfer RNA (87 nucleotides) under Acetobacter sp. CAG:977. It matches the Rfam family "tRNA". From Rfam's summary of the family: Transfer RNA (tRNA) molecules are approximately 80 nucleotides in length. Their secondary structure includes four short double-helical elements and three loops (D, anti-codon, and T loops). The record is from Rfam by way of RNAcentral. Lineage: Bacteria; Pseudomonadati; Pseudomonadota; Alphaproteobacteria; Acetobacterales; Acetobacteraceae.